Molecule: unclassified non-coding RNA, 727 nt
Filed under: Hevea brasiliensis (rubber tree)
Lineage: Eukaryota; Viridiplantae; Streptophyta; Magnoliopsida; Malpighiales; Euphorbiaceae
Source: RNAcentral
GAAAUUUAAUUGUCAAACAAGCAUAAUUUAUUGUUUAUAGAAAUAGCAUAUCAUCAAAGCUACAUAAAGUAAUCACACACUAUGACAAAGCUAUCACGUGCUUAUGUUGAUCACACAUAGCACUUUAUUAAAUUCUUCCACCUCAUUAUUUCUUACUCAAGGAGCUGAAUGCUUACAAUUAGGGUUGUACGGAGGGCACUUGCACUUAUUAUAACUAGAAGAAGAACCAGAUUUGCAAGGUUUUGUAGUUUCAUCUGUUUUCCCUGUAACACUAUCAGUCUUGAAGAUGACGUCAGGUUUGCGACCCCCACCAACUUCGCCUGCGGCAUUCAAACAAAGAUGAUAUAUAUAAUUACUAAACUAGUGAUUAUUCAUUUAGCAAUAUAUAUUUGCUUACGUAUUCUCAGUUUAGAGAAAAGUAAAUAGAAUAGCAUUUUGCAAGUUAAUUAAUUAAAUUUUCUCACCAUUAUGAAUCAACUCUCGAGCUACAGUUGGAGAGGGAAUGAGAAGGAAAGAAGACAAGAGGAUGAAAGUGAUAAGAAAGGCCUUCAUUUUGUUGUGCUUGACAGUUGAUUCUUCCCCAUGCAUCCUAGUCUUUAUUUAUAGAAAAAAAAGUUCUCACUAUUGAACUCUUUAAGUCUUUAUUGAAGUCAUGUAGGAGAAGACUUAGAUUGACCUAAGAAAGAACAAACACAAAUUUGAAGAUAAGGUAAAUACUAAAUCCUUA